Molecule: ribosomal RNA, 414 nt
Filed under: uncultured eukaryote
Lineage: Eukaryota
Description: bacterial SSU rRNA
Rfam family: Eukaryotic small subunit ribosomal RNA
Source: RNAcentral
CAAUAGCGUAUAUUAAAGUUGUUGCAGUUAAAAAGCUCGUAGUUGGACUUCUGAUGCGAAAGGUUGGUCCACCGCAAGGUGAGCACUGACUCUUCGCGUCUUCCUCUCGUAGUUGUUUGGCGCACUUAGUUGGGUGCCAGAUGAAUAUGGGACCUUUACUUUGAAAAAAUUAGAGUGUUCAAAGCAGGCAAUCGCUUGAAUACAUUAGCAUGGAAUAAUGAUAUAGGACCUUGGUUCUAUUUUGUUGGUUUCUAGGACUAAGGUAAUGAUUAAUAGGGACAAUUGGGGGCAUUCGUAUUAACGCGUCAGAGGUGGAAUUCUUAGAUUGCGUUACGACGAACUACUGCGAAAGCAUUUGCCAAGGAUGUUUUCAUUGAUCAAGAACGAAAGUAAGGGGAUCGAAGAUGAUUAGAU